GAGACGGCGCCGCAAUCCCAUUUAGGAGACGCCGGCGAUCACGCCCAGGAUCCGACGGCGAUCCCCUUCUGGACAUGCACAUCCUCUCGUACGCACGACUUGCAUUCAUCCCUACGCUAAUUUCGUCCCUUCGCCACCGCCGAUCCCUGCGGAGCUUCCCUCCCCAAUCCGAUCUGACGAAGAGAGUGCCAGAUCCGGCCGAGGGAGCCGCCGUACAGCCUCCACAUCGGUGGACCAGCACCUCCUGCCACGGGUGCCGCCGCCACCUCCUGCCUCACGACCCUUUGCCGUGACUCCGCCCCCAAGCGCCACUCCCGCAUGCAACCCUAACCCUAUCCCUCCAUGCCUCGCUGCCUCACCGAUUGAGCCGCGCUGAUGGAGCCCGAGCAGCGGUGGCCGACCCCGUCGCCGCCGCCGAGCCUGUGGACAAGGAGAAGGAGGAGGAGACGGAGGCGGCCGAGGACGAGGAGGACACACUGCUAGACCGCGCGCAGCCUGAUCUCACGGGUCCCUUUGUACAUGUGCAGUUCGUCAAUGGACCAAUGCCUAAUCUCCCCAAGGUUGAUGUUUCAUUGGACCCAGUGAAGGAGUUGAGCAGAGUAAUAUCUGAGCGAAAAAAUUGAGGGGCGUGCUUUGGUUGUGCUCUCAGCCAGGUUAUUUUACGAGGGUUGUGUGCACUGAACCCCAUUUCUCUGGACCAAGGGACGAUGAAAAGGAUGGGAAUGAGGACGAUGCGACCUAUAGAUGGUUGCUAUGGAUCGGGAGGGUGAUACUGAACAUCAGUUUACUACUAAUCCGGAGUAGUAAUAUUGGAUUACAGGUCAUGGGUUAGUAGUUAACUACAGAAAUCAGAAUAUUGGAUAGCAGUAACUAAGGCCAUUGGCAAUUUCUAUCAUAUAUCAUUAUUUAUUUGUGUGAUUCCUUUACCAACUACAUGUUUCUAUUUGUUUCCUAUAUUUUGUUUGUUCCUGAAUAUUUUAUGAAUUGUGUAUUUCUAUUUUAAUACAUAAGAGUCUUUUUCAUGCAAUUUACUCAAUGGCCUAUAUAAGAAGCCCUAAAUAAAGCUAUUCCUCAUUUGUACACUUUCUUACUUAUAUAGAUCAAAAUAUGGAAUUCUCUGCAGGUUAACUAAUACAUGCAUCAGCUUUGUAUCAUAAAGAUUUCACCAUCCCAAGGUAAUGGAAAUAAGUUCACAAGAUUCUCAUGUUGAGGUUUGUACAAAGAGAUACAAGGCAAUGUCUGUGUGCUGGAAGGAGAAACUCACUGCCAAAGCUAUAAUCCCUGAUGCUAAAGCCUGCAUGUUCAGAUCUGUAGAGUUUACUCAUAUUACUGUAUGAAUGAUUAAUACAGAGGGAGCCCUUUUGUCAGGUCAUUUAAUCAUUUAAUCAUAGGUACAUUAUCUCAGGUAACUUACUACUACCUUUGUUCGAAAAUAAGUGUCGUUAACUUAGUACACCUUUGCACUAAAAUUGUACUAAAUCCGUGACACUUAUUUUGGGACAGAGGGAGUAUUUCAUUUUCUACCUGAACCAAGUUGUUAUUUCAUUUCUAAGAGGCAAAGAGUUCCUCCUGGUUAGUUUGCCACAUUUUAUAUGUCUAUCUAUGUGCAUUACUAAUUCACUAUAUGCACAUUUAGUUCCCACUUUUGGCUCACUUUCUUGAUGCAUCUCGUAUGAGAGGAAAGGAAUGGAAAAUCUGACAAGCAAUGUUCGGGCAUACCCUUAUAUUUACGUCUGAUGAAAUGCUGCGGGUGCAAACUAAAAGACUGGUGCCAUGAGCAAAAGUGCAGACAUUACUUAUGAGAAAACAAUAAAAGAAUCUUCCAUGACUACAGACCACGACGAGUCAAAGACAAUGAAAGCACUACUCCAUUGGUGGUGUUAGCAAGUGGAGUCUGGAGGGAGAACAACACAAAGUAGGAAAUUGAUUCCCUCGCCCUCGCUUGCUUCAACGACCCCGCCCGUCUUGGUGGGGUCGAUUCCCCCAUCGCUCGACUCAUCUCCGACGAGUAUGGCGUCAAUGGGUACGCCCCGCCGCUCAUAUGCUUGGCGGGUCCCAGAACACCCGUGAUGUGUAUGAGCUUGACUAGGGCGAGGGGCUCGUGCUCGUGCUCGUGCUCGAGCUCGACAAGACACACUUCGAUCUCAUCACCAACAACGAGAUGGACUGUGAGACUCCAGAGCAGGCAGGGAUGAACGAAGACGAAAGUGGGGGCAGUUCGAGCUUGUCGCUCCCGAAGACCCUGGAGAGGUGCACGAAGAGACCUGGUUAGAUUUGUUGGCCACCACUGGUAAACUGCACUAAUAACAAAUCGGUUGUCAUCUCUCAUGUUGCCGAUUCAACCCUGGACGAUGUUGCGCGGCUCGCGGCCAUGGACAAUGUGUUGUUGGACAACGACGCGAGGCCGAGGCAGCCAACGUGAAUGACCACUGGGUAUGUAAUGCCCCUCCCCCCCAAAAAAGUCCCUUAGUGACCUUGAGCCAAAAGGGAUCAGAAAAUACAAUUGCAAGCAUAUGAACAUGGCAAAAACAUAAU
Molecule: long non-coding RNA, 2535 nt
Organism: Triticum aestivum (bread wheat)
Lineage: Eukaryota; Viridiplantae; Streptophyta; Magnoliopsida; Poales; Poaceae
Exons: 7
Source: RefSeq, a predicted model, not a curated record